UUGAAACACCAGUUUCCAUAUUAUCACUGAAGUUAAGCAAUGUUGAGCCUGGUCAGUACCUAGAUGGGUAACUGCUUUGGAAUACCAAGUGCUGUAAG
Acanthosepion pharaonis is the source of this 98-nucleotide non-coding RNA. NCBI's taxonomy places the organism in Eukaryota, Metazoa, Mollusca, Cephalopoda, Sepiida, Sepiidae. The record is from the annotation of a GenBank genome assembly.